GAUGAACGCUGGCGGCGUGCCUAAUACAUGCAAGUCGAGCGAACAGACGAGGAGCUUGCUCCUCUGACGUUAGCGGCGGACGGGUGAGUAACACGUGGAUAACCUACCUAUAAGACUGGGAUAACUUCGGGAAACCGGAGCUAAUACCGGAUAAUAUAUUGAACCGCAUGGUUCAAUAGUGAAAGACGGUUUUGCUGUCACUUAUAGAUGGAUCCGCGCCGCAUUAGCUAGUUGGUAAGGUAACGGCUUACCAAGGCAACGAUGCGUAGCCGACCUGAGAGGGUGAUCGGCCACACUGGAACUGAGACACGGUCCAGACUCCUACGGGAGGCAGCAGUAGGGAAUCUUCCGCAGUGGGCGAAAGCCUGACGGAGCAACGCCGCGUGAGUGAUGAAGGUCUUCGGAUCGUAAAACUCUGUUAUUAGGGAAGAACAAAUGUGUAAUAACUAUGCACGUCUUGACGGUACCUAAUCAGAAAGCCACGGCUAACUACGUG
Molecule: ribosomal RNA, 496 nt
Filed under: uncultured bacterium
Lineage: Bacteria
Description: partial 16S ribosomal RNA
Rfam family: Bacterial small subunit ribosomal RNA
Source: RNAcentral